AUUUUGUCCCAGAUGAGUUUUGUCCUGACCCAGUUCCUGAUGCUGUGCUUGAAGCUCUUGAAUCCGAGGAAAAAGCUGAGAAGGGUAUGAUCACAAGCUAUCCAUGCACUGCACCUCCUCCAGUGUACUCUCCACCUUCAGGG
This is a non-coding RNA of Camelina sativa (false flax), 143 nucleotides long. The record is from RefSeq and is a predicted model, not a curated record. Lineage: Eukaryota; Viridiplantae; Streptophyta; Magnoliopsida; Brassicales; Brassicaceae.